GAGAGAGAGAGAGAGAAGGAAGCUCCUUUUGAGGUCUAUUCAGAAACAAGUGUAUUUGAACUAGUGGAAUACUCUAACUAAAAAAGCUUGGAUUUUUAUUUGCCAAGACUGAUGAAGAAGAGGUAUGGGCUUUUCAUUUUUUUUAUUUCUGCUAUAGACACAUAGUCAGCGCCUGAACUUUUGAAUGAUUCAGAGAUCGGCGGCUAAGAUUAACCUAGGUGCAUGGUAAACAGUGAGUACUACCACAGAUGAAUUCUCCUUAGAAGUGUCUCAGGCUUUUUUUUAAUGCAGAUAGAAGGGAGGA
RNAcentral lists this unclassified non-coding RNA (304 nucleotides) under Hevea brasiliensis (rubber tree). Lineage: Eukaryota; Viridiplantae; Streptophyta; Magnoliopsida; Malpighiales; Euphorbiaceae. The record is from RNAcentral.